Molecule: ribosomal RNA, 461 nt
Filed under: uncultured bacterium
Lineage: Bacteria
Description: partial 16S ribosomal RNA
Rfam family: Bacterial small subunit ribosomal RNA
Source: RNAcentral
CCUACGGGUGGCAGCAGUGAGGAAUAUUGGUCAAUGGGCGCAAGCCUGAACCAGCGAAGUCGCGUGAGGGAUGACGGUCCUAUGGAUUGUAAAACUCUUUUGUCGGGGAGCAAGGCCCGCCACGUGUGGCGGGAAGGAGAGUACCCGAAGAAAAAGCAUCAGCUACCUCCGUGCCAGCAGCGGCGGUAAUACGGAGGAUGCGAGCGUUAUCCGGAUUUAUUGGGUUUAAAGGGUGCGUAGGCGGAAGGUUAAGUCAAGGGUGAAAUCCCCGCGCUCAACGUGGGAACUGCCUUUGAAACUGGGAAACUGGAGUGUGUGAGGGGAUAGGGGAAUUCCAGGUGUAGGAGUGAAAUCCGUAGAUAUCUGGAGGAACAUCAGUGGCGAAGGCGACUAUCUGGCACAUAACUGACGCUGAGGAGCGAAGGCGUGGGUAGCAAACAGGAUUAGAUACCCCUGUAGUC